GCACGUCUUCCUAGCCGCAUUCCUGCCGGCCUCCGCGGUGGUUCUGUACCUCGUGAUGUAGCCGCGCUCCGUGUACCUCGUCGACUACGCUUGCUUCCACACCAAGCCCAGCCACUGCGUCCCCUUCGGCACAUUCCUCGAGCACGCCAAGCUUGUCACCUUCAUUGA
This 168-nucleotide ribosomal RNA is filed under the name Triticum aestivum (bread wheat). RNAcentral describes it as "partial small subunit ribosomal RNA". Lineage: Eukaryota; Viridiplantae; Streptophyta; Magnoliopsida; Poales; Poaceae. The record is from RNAcentral.